Molecule: long non-coding RNA, 742 nt
Filed under: Equus asinus (donkey)
Lineage: Eukaryota; Metazoa; Chordata; Mammalia; Perissodactyla; Equidae
Description: lncRNA (ENSEASG00005031506.1)
Source: RNAcentral
GCCUGCUAAAGUUUGAGAAGCAUUUCCCUUCACUGUUACUCACUCCUGGCGCUCCUCACCUAGUCUUUUUUAGCACAGGAGCAGAGGGGCUGGAGACCUAGAAAUAUGGUUCUUUCACAUUUAUCCCCUUCCCUACGCACACAGUUUUUCUCUUCAUAAUGGCACAAAGUGGAAGCAAUGGACUCAAAAUAACCCAGGAGGCCUGGAACACAUGGGGAAUAUAAAAUAUUGAUUUGGAAGGCUGGAAGGGCUGCCUUAAGAGCAGGUAUCAGAUAAUCAUGGAAAAGAUGAAGCAAGAAGACAAUCCACCAGCCUCUAGGUCCAUUGGUUCAACAUCAGGUUCUGCAGCUAUGAUAGACUUGCUGGCUCAACUCUGCAUUAUUGCCACUCUGGGACCCUGAGCUUCACAGACUCCUUCCUGAUCGCUGAGCAAUCUCACAGAUGUGGCCCAGCGUCCAAGAUGGUACAGAUACAAACAGAAAGCUGACCACAUUUCAGAGUCCCAAAUAAGGAGCAAGAUGACACCUUCCACUGCCCCGUAUCCCUCCCUACAUUCUCCACUCCCAAACCUACUGGUACUCUCUGACUUAUCUCACACCCUCUAGACUUUAGCUUGGACAGAAGAAACCCUUCUUCUUACUUUCUUGGCAAUCUCUAAAAAAAUUCUCAGGCCAGGAAAGGGUAUCGUACUGCCUGUAGUUUAUAUCCUUCUCCCUGUGUCAUUAAGAACCAUCUUGUGGCU